GACUGGUUCAAAGUUCGAAAAAUCGGCCAUUUUGUUACUAAAAAUAGAACAAAAUGGCUGCUUUUUCGAAAUUUGAAUCACUC
RNAcentral lists this microRNA precursor (83 nucleotides) under Paramuricea clavata. Lineage: Eukaryota; Metazoa; Cnidaria; Anthozoa; Malacalcyonacea; Plexauridae. The record is from RNAcentral.